Molecule: ribosomal RNA, 338 nt
Filed under: uncultured eukaryote
Lineage: Eukaryota
Description: bacterial SSU rRNA
Rfam family: Eukaryotic small subunit ribosomal RNA
Source: RNAcentral
CAAUGGCGUAUAUUAAAGUUGUUGCAGUUAAAAGCUCGUAGUUGGAUUUCUGGCAGGAGCGACCGGUCGGCCCAAGCUAGGUGUGUACUAGUGUUGCAUCUGGCCAUAUUUGCGGAGAGCGUGUGUGGCAUUAAUUUGUCGUGCACGGGACCCGCACGUUUAUCUGUGAGAAAAUUUAGAGUGUUCAAAGCAGGCUUAUGCCUUGGAUAUGUUAGCAUGGAAUAAUAAGAUAAGACUUUGGCGGUCUAUUUUGUUGGUUUGCACGCCAUUGUAAUGAUUGAUAGGGACAGUUGGGUGAUUUCAUAUUUAAUUGUCAGAGGUGAAAUUCUUGGAUUUCU